CAGCCGCCGCGGUAAUACGAAGGGGGCUAGCGUUGCUCGGAAUUACUGGGCGUAAAGGGAGCGUAGGCGGAUCGUUAAGUUGGGGGUGAAAGCCCGGGGCUCAACCUCGGAACUGCCUUCAAUACUGGCGAUCUUGAGUAUGAGAGAGGUGUGUGGAACUCCGAGUGUAGAGGUGAAAUUCGUAGAUAUUCGGAAGAACACCAGUGGCGAAGGCGACACACUGGCUCAUUACUGACGCUGAGGUUCGAAAGCGUGGGGAGCAAACAGGAUUAGAUACCCCUGUAGUCCCUGUCUCUUAUAC
RNAcentral lists this ribosomal RNA (301 nucleotides) under uncultured bacterium. RNAcentral describes it as "partial 16S ribosomal RNA". It matches the Rfam family "Bacterial small subunit ribosomal RNA", at positions 509 to 807 of the family's 1533-position model. The record is from RNAcentral.